ACCCGCUGAAUUUAAGCAUAUCAAUAAGCGGAGGAAAAGAAACCAACAGGGAUUGCCUUAGUAACGGCGAGUGAAGCGGCAAAAGCUCAAAUUUGAAAUCGGCCUCCAGGUCGAGUUGUAAUUUGUAGAUUGUAUCUUGAGAGCGGAUUAAAGUCUGUUGGAACACAGCGCCUUAGAGGGUGACAGCCCCGUAAAAUCUAUUCUCAUUGUAAGAUACUUUCGAAGAGUCGAGUUGUUUGGGAAUGCAGCUCUAAGUGGGAGGUAAAUUCCUUCUAAAGCUAAAUAUUGACGAGAGACCGAUAGCGAACAAGUACUGUGAAGGAAAGAUGAAAAGCACUUUGAAAAGAGAGCGAAAAAGUACGUGAAAUUGUUAAAAGGGAAGGGUAUUGAAUCAGACUUGGUGCUGUUGUUCAACUGUGUUUUGGCACAGUGUACUCAGCAGUACUAGGCCAAGGUGGGGUGUUUGGGAGUGAAAAAGAAGUUGGAACGUAACUCUUCGGAGUGUUAUAGCCUACUUUCAUAGCUCCUCAGGCGCCUCAGGACUGCGCUUCGGCAAGGACCUUGGCAUAAUGAUUCUAUACCGCCCGUCUUGAAACACGGACCAAGGAG
Molecule: ribosomal RNA, 609 nt
Filed under: uncultured fungus
Lineage: Eukaryota; Fungi
Description: eukaryotic LSU rRNA
Rfam family: Eukaryotic large subunit ribosomal RNA
Source: RNAcentral